AAAAAGAUAAACCCUGAUUUCCGUGUCCAAUUUUGACUGUCCGUUUUAUAUCCGUUUUAUAUGAACUUUAUUUAUAAUUCGUAUUUUUAUUGUUGUUAGAUGAUAAAACAUGAUUAAUAUUUUAUGCGUAACUUAUCUUUUUAAUUUUUUUCAUAAUUUUUUUAAAUAAGACGGACGGUCAAACAUUGGGCACGGAAACUAGUGUUUAUCCCUUUU
Molecule: microRNA precursor, 216 nt
Organism: Oryza rufipogon (brownbeard rice)
Lineage: Eukaryota; Viridiplantae; Streptophyta; Magnoliopsida; Poales; Poaceae
Rfam family: MIR812 microRNA precursor family
Source: Rfam